Non-coding RNA from Vicia faba (fava bean), 243 nucleotides. The record is from the annotation of a GenBank genome assembly. NCBI's taxonomy places the organism in Eukaryota, Viridiplantae, Streptophyta, Magnoliopsida, Fabales, Fabaceae.
AUGAAUAGCACCACUCUUUACAAAAAAAACAAAUUGGACAAAAGACUACGGGUAAUUUAUAAACAACACAUACACUCUUCAUCUGUGCUGAUUUUAAAUCGAAACUCAACUUACCACAAUAAUAAAAAUAACAGCCAAAACCUGGAGAGUAUUUCAAAAAAGUCGGGCAGUUCUAUAGCUAUUUUGUAUUUGUUUCAUACACAUGUACUACAUAAUUAUAUAAUUUUUAUCAGGUGGUAUUGA